Cygnus olor (mute swan) is the source of this 949-nucleotide long non-coding RNA. RefSeq lists it as uncharacterized. The record is from RefSeq and is a predicted model, not a curated record. The transcript is spliced from 5 exons. Lineage: Eukaryota; Metazoa; Chordata; Aves; Anseriformes; Anatidae.
CGGCAGCUGCCGCCCGGCCGCCGCAGGGGGUGAGGGAACGCCGCAGGGCUCCUGGCUCCGCGGAGGGCAGGUCGCGGCCCAGCGCGUGCGCUCGGUUCCCCCCUCGCCGCCCCUUCCGCGGGGCGGAACGGCUCUCUGCUCACUUGCGCUCCUGGCAGCGCAUGCCGUCCCUUUGCACUGGGGCAGAAGCAGCUCCCCGCCGCUAGGACCCCUGUGGGGUUUGUUGCUGAGCGAGGGUGGCACACUGUGUAAACAGGAAAUCUGCUGCUGGCAUGCUGCAGUUGCAGGUUUCCCAGGAGAAAGAGCAGCCCGUCUGUCCUGACUGUCCAGCAAACCUGUGCAAUCCCAGGAGUGUAAGUACAGUCUUGUGUAGCAUUGUCAUUCUGCCCCACCACUCUGAUAUCUAACAAGCAGCUAACUAUAGAAAGAAAUAAGAUCCUCAAGUGUCCUUGGAUCCGCUAACUCUACCUCUUUAUCUCUUCCCUAAGAAGACACCGUGGAUUUAAAGACGGUGUGUAUUAAAUGAAGUAUAAGAAGAAACAGCUUCUUCGGACACUUGGCGCUACUCUUCUUCAGCUCGUGCAGAAGGCUGACAGCCUGUCUCACUCUCGUCAGUGCUAUCCCACCAGCUCCUUUAGGAGCUCAGCACUGCGUUUGGCCUGUUGCGAUCUUCCCGCUCCCCUCAUUUCUGUGCUGCAACGCCACCAUCCACGAGAAGUCAGAUAGGAGAAAAACUCUUUCCAGAGAGAUGGAGAAGGAAUUAAUUAUACCUCUGCCUCUUCCCGUGAGACCAGAAGACAUGGAGUAACUGUAAGCUGCGAUUCUCAGAAGACAUACUAAGCGUCUCUGGUUCCUUCUCUGCCUGCCCCCCUGGGGCCUUAGGGAUGAGAAAUCUUAGGCUUAAUGUUUUUCCCUAUGAAAUACUGUUGCGUUAAGGGGCGUAGCUGAC